GCCAGGUGCGGUGGCCCACACCUGUAAUCCCAGCUGCUCAGGAGGCUGAGGCAGGAGGAUCGAAAGUUCAAAGACAGCCUCAGCAACUUAGUGAGGCACUAAGCCACUCAGCAAGACCCGGUCUCUA
Molecule: small RNA, 127 nt
Filed under: Marmota monax (woodchuck)
Lineage: Eukaryota; Metazoa; Chordata; Mammalia; Rodentia; Sciuridae
Source: RNAcentral